RNAcentral lists this ribosomal RNA (292 nucleotides) under uncultured bacterium. Its description in RNAcentral is "partial 16S ribosomal RNA". It matches the Rfam family "Bacterial small subunit ribosomal RNA", at positions 505 to 796 of the family's 1533-position model. The record is from RNAcentral.
GUGCCAGCCGCCGCGGUAAUACGGGGGGAGCAAGCGUUGUUCGGAAUUACUGGGCGUAAAGGGCGUGUAGGCGGCCUUGUAAGUCGGGGGUGAAAUCCACUGGCUCAACCAGUGACGUGCCUUCGAAACUGCUUGGCUUGAGUAUGGCAGAGGAGAGCGGAAUUCCAGGUGUAGCGGUGAAAUGCGUAGAUAUCUGGAAGAACACCGGUGGCGUAGGCGGCUCUCUGGGCCAAUACUGACGCUGAGGCGCGAAAGCCAGGGGAGCAAACGGGAUUAGAUACCCCGGUAGUCC